AGCAGUAGCCGCGGGAAUACGAAGGGUGCAAGCGUUAAUCGGAAUUACUGGGCGUAAAGCGUGCGUAGGCGGUUUGUUAAGUCUGUUGUGAAAUCCCCGGGCUCAACCUGGGAAUGGCAAUGGAUACUGGCAAGCUAGAGUGUGUCAGAGGAUGGUGGAAUUCCCGGUGUAGCGGUGAAAUGCGUAGGGAUCGGGAGGAACAUCAGUGGCGAAGGCGGCCAUCUGGGACAACACUGACGCUGAGGCACGAAAGCAUGGGGAGCAAACAGGAUUAGAUACCCGCGUAGUCCCUGUCUCUUAUAC
This 303-nucleotide ribosomal RNA is filed under the name uncultured bacterium. Its description in RNAcentral is "partial 16S ribosomal RNA". It matches the Rfam family "Bacterial small subunit ribosomal RNA", at positions 507 to 807 of the family's 1533-position model. The record is from RNAcentral.